CAAAGGAGCAAUCCGCUGAAAGAUGGGCUCGCGUCCGAUUAGGUAGUUGGCGGGGUAACGGCCCACCAAGCCGACGAUCGGUAGCCGGACUGAGAGGUUGAACGGCCACAUUGGGACUGAGACACGGCCCAGACUCCUACGGGAGGCAGCAGUGAGGGAUAUUGGUCAAUGGGGGAAACCCUGAACCAGCAACGCCGCGUGAGGGAAGACGGUUUUCGGAUUGUAAACCUCUGUCCUCUGUGAAGAUGAUGACGGUAGCAGAGGAGGAAGCUCCGGCUAACUACGUGCCAGCAGCCGCGGUAAUACGUAGGGAGCAAGCGUUGUCCGGAUUUACUGGGUGUAAAGGGUGCGUAGGCGGCUUUGCAAGUCAGAAGUGAAAUCUAUGGGCUUAACCCAUAAACUGCUUUUGAAACUGCAGGGCUUGAGUGAAGUAGAGGUAGGCGGAAUUCCCGGUGUAGCGGUGAAAUGCGUAGAGAUCGGGAGGAACACCAGUGGCGAAGGCGGCCUACUGGGCUUUAACUGACGCUGAGGCACGAAAGCGUGGGUAGCAAACAGGAUUAGAUACCCUGGUAGUCCACGCU
Molecule: ribosomal RNA, 581 nt
Filed under: uncultured bacterium
Lineage: Bacteria
Description: bacterial SSU rRNA
Rfam family: Bacterial small subunit ribosomal RNA
Source: RNAcentral